GGUGGGCCGGAUAAAUGUCCUCCGCGGGCCGCAUGUGGCCCACGGGCUGUAGUUUGAGGACACCUGGUCUAGAGGGAAAGCCAGGUGGAACCAGGGACCCCCUAGAGUGGACCCGAGAGACCGGCGUACCUCGAACUUCACGGAGCCCGUCUGGGUGGUGUCGAAGGCGUUGAAGAGAUUAGCAUUCUAAUUACUUCUGAAAAAGUGGGCCUCAGCAAGGCGAGUUUUCCAAUUAAAAUUGUCCUGAAGAUAAAUUGAGGUCUUUGGCUGAGAGCACUUCAGCAUUCUCCCAUCCUGGAGCAAUAGCAUCUGUCAUCCCAGAGGGACCGAGCCGGGAUUCGCAUUUGUGCUGGAUCUGCCUGAAGAGCUUGAGGUUCUCCUUAGGAGAGAACUGGGGCAUCCUGGGCCAUGGACCCAGUGCUUAGGUGCUGUCCCAGAGACGCGCAGGGCAGGGACCACCGGAGUACUGCGCUGAAUGCACUGAGCAAAGCCGACCUCUCCAUUGCAGGAAACCUCAAGCGCCCUGGAGAUGCCUGAGGAAGCAACUAGACAGACUGUUCCUUACAGCGGGGCUGUGGGCAUUCGCGGGCCGGGCUCUGCUGGGGCUGGCUCUGUCUGGCGGGGACAGUGCUCUGGCCACAGCCGGAGUGCAAGGUGGGCUGCUGCACCUGGCCUUCGCAGCGUUCGGUCUUGGGAGACACAGAACGAAAAGCAACUGGCGAACUGUUAAUUAGCUGAGCAGACUCCUAAAGGCUAAUGGUUGUAGGAAAUAACUUACUCGGACUCUCAAGUGAACCACAGGGAAUCAAGUGCUUGCCUUGGAACUGGCUGCGUCCCCUUCCUGUGACUGCCCCCACCCCCGCCCCACUGCCCUCCUGCUCUCUCACCCUCUCCUCUUGACCUCU
Molecule: non-coding RNA, 905 nt
Organism: Microcebus murinus (gray mouse lemur)
Lineage: Eukaryota; Metazoa; Chordata; Mammalia; Primates; Cheirogaleidae
Source: RefSeq, a predicted model, not a curated record